GACGAACGCUGGCGGCGUGCUUAACACAUGCAAGUCGAGCGGUAAGGCCCUUUCGGGGGUACACGAGCGGCGAACGGGUGAGUAACACGUGGGUGACCUGCCCUCAGCUCUGGGAUAAGCCUGGGAAACCGGGUCUAAUACUGGAUAUGACUCCAUGACGCAUGUUGUGGGGUGGAAAGCCUUGUGCGGCUGAGGAUGGGCCCGCGGCCUAUCAGCUUGUUGGUGGGGUGAUGGCCUACCAAGGCGA
This 247-nucleotide ribosomal RNA is filed under the name uncultured Actinomycetes bacterium. RNAcentral's name for it is "uncultured actinobacterium partial 16S ribosomal RNA". It matches the Rfam family "Bacterial small subunit ribosomal RNA", at positions 28 to 276 of the family's 1533-position model. The record is from RNAcentral. Lineage: Bacteria; Bacillati; Actinomycetota; Actinomycetes.